UACGUAGGGUGCGAGCGUUGUCCGGAAUUAUUGGGCGUAAAGAGCUCGUAGGCGGUUUGUCGCGUCGACUGUGAAAACUGGGGGCUUAACUCUCAGCUUGCAGUUGAUACGGGCAGACUUGAGUUCGGUAGGGGAGACUGGAAUUCCUGGUGUAGCGGUGAAAUGCGCAGAUAUCAGGAGGAACACCAAUAGCGAAGGCAGCUCGCUGGGACGGUAUUGACGCUAAGGCGCGAAAGCGUGGGGAGCAAACAGG
This 253-nucleotide ribosomal RNA is filed under the name uncultured bacterium. RNAcentral describes it as "partial 16S ribosomal RNA". It matches the Rfam family "Bacterial small subunit ribosomal RNA", at positions 524 to 776 of the family's 1533-position model. The record is from RNAcentral.